RNAcentral lists this ribosomal RNA (373 nucleotides) under uncultured bacterium. RNAcentral describes it as "bacterial SSU rRNA". It matches the Rfam family "Bacterial small subunit ribosomal RNA", at positions 527 to 896 of the family's 1533-position model. The record is from RNAcentral.
GUAGGGGGCAAGCGUUGUCCGGAUUUAUUGGGCGUAAAGAGCUCGUAGGUGGUUCGGUAAGUCGGGUGUGAAAACUCUGGGCUCAACCCAGAGACGCCACCCGAUACUGCUGUGACUUGAGUCUGGUAGGGGAGUGUGGAAUUCCCAGUGUAGCGGUGAAAUGCGCAGAUAUUGGGAGGAACACCAGUGGCGAAGGCGGCACUCUGGGCCAGAACUGACACUGAGGAGCGAAAGCGUGGGUAGCGAACAGGAUUAGAUACCCUGGUAGUCCACGCCGUAAACGUUGGGCACUAGGUGUGGGUCUCAACCAACGGGAUCCGUGCCGCAGCUAACGCAUUAAGUGCCCCGCCUGGGGAGUACGGCCGCAAGGCUA